AGUGAACGCUGGCGGUAGGCCUAACACAUGCAAGUCGAACGGCAGUACAGUAAUAGCUUGCUCUUACGGGUGGCGAGUGGCGGACGGGUGAGGAAUACAUCGGAAUCUACUUUUUCGUGGGGGAUAACGUAGGGAAACUUACGCUAAUACCGCAUACUACCUACGGGUGAAAGCAGGGGAUCUUCGUACCUUGCUCGAUUGAAUGCACUGAUGUCGGGUUUGCUAGUUGGCGGGGUAAAGGCCCACCAAGGCGACGAUCCGUAGCUGGUCUGAGAGGAUGAUCAGCCACACUGGAACUGAGACACGGUCCAGACUCCGACGCGAGGCAGCAGUGGGGAAUAUUGGAAAAUGGGCGCAAGCCUGAUCAAGCCAUACCGCGUGGGUGAAGAAGGCCUUCGGGUUGUAAAGCCCUUUUGUUGGGAAAGAAAAGCAGCAGGUUGAUACCCCGCUGUUCUGACGGUACCCAAAGAAUAAGCACCGGCUAACUUCGUG
RNAcentral lists this ribosomal RNA (492 nucleotides) under uncultured bacterium. RNAcentral's name for it is "partial 16S ribosomal RNA". It matches the Rfam family "Bacterial small subunit ribosomal RNA", at positions 29 to 507 of the family's 1533-position model. The record is from RNAcentral.